Saccostrea cuccullata (small rock oyster) is the source of this 597-nucleotide long non-coding RNA. RefSeq lists it as uncharacterized. The record is from RefSeq and is a predicted model, not a curated record. Lineage: Eukaryota; Metazoa; Mollusca; Bivalvia; Ostreida; Ostreidae. The transcript has 2 exons.
CAUCAACAGUAGCAGAUGGGGCACAAAAUUUGAAGGAUUUUUCAUAGAUCUUAAACAAGAUACCCUGUGCCUGAAAACCAGUCACCCGUACUAUCAUCAAAUUCAAGGCCAGCUACACAUAUGUAACAAAACAUUCUGCGACUUAAUUGUGUGGACAAGAGUAGACUGCAUUGUGAUUAGAAUAGUAAAAGACAUUGAAUGGACAGCAAAUGUUCCAAAGCUGAUAGAUUUCUACAUUAACAUUUUCAUUCCAGCACUGAUGGAAAACUGAGUUCUGGUUUGAACUUCUUGACACUUAGUUUUGUACCUCUAGAAUUUUCUAACAAUGGAAAAUGGGUAAUCAUGUUAAAUGGGUUGAAUGUUCCCAAGUCUCAUAAAUGUAUGAUAUGAUAUGUCACAAUCCAAUGAAUCCAUCAUAAAACUUCUGGCUUAUAAGACUAUUUUAAAUAGCAAUGAUGAUUAAUAAAAUCUAUGUACUACAUAAAAAAAGAAUAUCAAAAUUUAGAAUCAUUUUAUUAAUGAAUUGAAGAUGUUAUUCUCAAAGUGAAAAUGUAACAUUUUUGUCUUUCUUAAUAGAUAAAUUGUUGAAAACAUGAA